Molecule: long non-coding RNA, 469 nt
Organism: Stylophora pistillata
Lineage: Eukaryota; Metazoa; Cnidaria; Anthozoa; Scleractinia; Pocilloporidae
Source: RefSeq, a predicted model, not a curated record
ACAUGCCAGACAAUAAAGUUUAAUUAAAUCACAGAAAAAAAAAAUUACAAAAACAUCGAAGGUUCGUGUAUUCCUAUUAAAACAACAACAAAAGCAGUAAAGAAACUACUAUAGCAGUAAGAGGUACAACCUAACUGAAAUACCAAUUGUAUGCUUUUGAACGUAAACAAUUGACUCUAGAACUCCCGAGUCAUGCCACAAUCGCUGACGCAUUGCUUCAGCAAAGGGCCAUCUUCCCUCAAGCGCAUCUCUCGCACGCUUCGUAUGUUAUUGUUUAAAAGUAGAUCAGCAACUGGUACGAGUCAGCCAUAAUCCUACUGCCUCACUUCACUUAAGACCUGUGACCAACACAGCGGUCAAACGUGCAGCAUGCGUUAAGGGAUUAAUUUUAGCCGGCUGCAUGCUAAUUUUCCACGAAAAAUUUCCAAAGAAAACAUAAGAAACAGCUGUUUUCAUGCCAAAUAUGCGA